AGCAGACAGAUGAUUCCCCAGUCCCGGAACACUCUCGGCCCUCUUCAGCCACUCCCUCCCCAACCCACACGCCAUCAACCUCCAGACCCUCUCGCCGUGGCUUAGAGGUGUCUCUGACAACGUGGCACACUGGGAAGGCCUUCUUUCCUGCUACCAAUACAAAUGCAUUCUGAAUUUGAUAUGUCAUUAAAUGUAAAAAUACAGCCAAUUUGAAACAAGCAAAUGGAAAUUCCCAGGAACCAAAAACAGAAAGAAAAAUCAGAGCUACCGCAGUGCUGUCCCUGCAGACAGAAUUUGGGAGAGGUACUCAGAGUCACCUCCUGUGAGCCUAUGCAAGCCAGCUCCUGCACAACCCUGGUUUUAGUCCAGGUUGUCUUGUGGUAGAGGAGAUUUUGCCUUGCAAUUUUACAUACUUAUGCUACGUGGAAGGCUGGGUGGCGUGACUUCAGGAAAGAGACACACAGAGAGAGAGAGAAAGAGAGAAAGAGAGAACCCACCUACCUGUUUUGCAAAAGUCUCAUGAAUCAUCCCUUCCUGUGGUCCUGCUCCCUGAGAUCCUUUCACCGCUCACAGUGGGCUACUUCUAAGAGCGUGCCUGGCACAGGGUCACUGAGAGCAUAGUCUUAAUAAAACAAUGAUGGAUGCUUGUCUCUCUCACUGGGUGCCAUGCACUUUGAUCAGAAGCUUUAAGAAUGUUUUCCUCCACUGUCUAGUCACAGCCGUAUUAAAUUACACAAGGCAUGGGAAGAGGCAUAAUCUGUUGAUGAUAAAUCAGAAUUAAUGAGAGUUUAACAAGCCUGCUAAAUACUAAGUCAAUGUAAAAAAUCAAUUGUAAGCCCAUCUAUCAGAAAAACACUAUUAGCAAGCAAAAUUUACAUUUUUACUGCUUAACAUAGCAUCCCAAAUAUCAAGUACCUAGCAACAAAUCUAACGAAAGAUAUGCAAGACUUAUAGAGAAAACAGCAACAGCAACAACUUUGUUUAGAUACAUUAGCGAAGAUCUCAUUACAUGGAGACAUACACUAUGCUCAUGGACUGGAAGACUCCAUAUGGAAGAUGCCAAUUCACAUCUCAGAAUCUCAGCAGGUGUUGCAAAGAACCUGAAAAUUUGUUUUAAAAAUUCAUGUCAAAAUGCAAAGGUCCUACAAUUGCCAAAGAAAAAUAGGGAGGGAGGACCACCUGAUAUCAGCGGUGAUUAUAAAACAAUAAUAAAUGUGAUACCUUGCCUUAAGUCUGGGGAUAGACAAAUAGACGAGGGGCGCAGGUUGGAGAAUCCAGAAACUGACCCAUGAAUACAUUGACACUUGAUAUAUGACAGAAAUGGCCCCCAAAGCCAUGGGUGUCUGGGCAUAUAGUAUCCAUACAGAAAAAAUAUGAACUAUCUUCAAUAAGAGACAUAACACUAUAAAAGAAAAUCAUUUUAAGAAAAAA
Homo sapiens (human) is the source of this 1431-nucleotide long non-coding RNA. Ensembl annotates it as long intergenic non-protein coding RNA 929. NCBI's taxonomy places the organism in Eukaryota, Metazoa, Chordata, Mammalia, Primates, Hominidae. The record is from Ensembl.